RNAcentral lists this ribosomal RNA (253 nucleotides) under uncultured bacterium. RNAcentral describes it as "partial 16S ribosomal RNA". It matches the Rfam family "Bacterial small subunit ribosomal RNA", at positions 524 to 776 of the family's 1533-position model. The record is from RNAcentral.
UACGUAGGGGGCGAGCGUUGUCCGGAUUUAUUGGGCGUAAAGAGCGUGUAGGCGGUUCGGUAAGUCUGUCGUGAAAUCCUGAGGCUCAACCUGGGGCGUGCGAUGGAUACUGCCGGGCUAGAGGAUGGUAGAGGCGAGUGGAAUUCCCGGUGUAGCGGUGAAAUGCGCAGAUAUCGGGAGGAACACCAGUAGCGAAGGCGGCUCGCUGGGCCAUUCCUGACGCUGAGACGCGAAAGCUAGGGGAGCGAACAGG